UACGAUCACAUUAUGUUGAAACACCGUAUCCCGUACGAUCACCUAAGUUAAGCAACGUAGCGCCUGGUCAGAACCUAGAUGAGUGAACACUUGGGAAUACCAUGG
This is a non-coding RNA of Acanthosepion pharaonis, 105 nucleotides long. NCBI's taxonomy places the organism in Eukaryota, Metazoa, Mollusca, Cephalopoda, Sepiida, Sepiidae. The record is from the annotation of a GenBank genome assembly.